RNAcentral lists this transfer RNA (69 nucleotides) under Sphingobium sp. RNAcentral describes it as "tRNA-Ser". The record is from RNAcentral. Lineage: Bacteria; Pseudomonadati; Pseudomonadota; Alphaproteobacteria; Sphingomonadales; Sphingobiaceae.
GACGUCCAUGGACAUUAUAUCAGCCCUUUCACGGCUGAAACACGGGUUCGAUUCCCGUAGGGGUCACCA